This 305-nucleotide ribosomal RNA is filed under the name uncultured bacterium. Its description in RNAcentral is "bacterial SSU rRNA". It matches the Rfam family "Bacterial small subunit ribosomal RNA", at positions 335 to 637 of the family's 1533-position model. The record is from RNAcentral.
UUGCCUACGGGACGCAGCAGUGAGGAAUAUUGGUCAAUGGCCGGAAGGCUGAACCAGCCAAGCCGCGUGAAGGACGAAGGUGCCAAGCAUUGUAAACUUCUUUUGUCAAGGGACAAAAUCAGGCUCGAGAGCCUGACCGAGGGUACUUGAAGAAAAAGCAUCGGCUAACUCCGUGCCAGCAGCCGCGGUAAUACGUAGGGGGCAAGCGUUAUCCGGAUUUACUGGGUGUAAAGGGGGCGUAGACGGUGCAGCAAGUCUGAUGUGAAAGGUCGGGGCCCAACCCCGGGACUGCAUUGGAAACUGUU